RNAcentral lists this ribosomal RNA (1343 nucleotides) under uncultured bacterium. RNAcentral's name for it is "16S ribosomal RNA". It matches the Rfam family "Bacterial small subunit ribosomal RNA", at positions 28 to 1378 of the family's 1533-position model. The record is from RNAcentral.
GACGAACGCUGGCGGCGUGCUUAACACAUGCAAGUCGAACGGAAAGGCCCUGCUUUUGUGGGGUGCUCGAGUGGCGAACGGGUGAGUAACACGUGAGUAACCUGCCCUUGACUUUGGGAUAACUUCAGGAAACUGGGGCUAAUACCGGAUAGGAGCUCCUGCUGCAUGGUGGGGGUUGGAAAGUUUCGGCGGUUGGGGAUGGACUCGCGGCUUAUCAGCUUGUUGGUGGGGUAGUGGCUUACCAAGGCUUUGACGGGUAGCCGGCCUGAGAGGGUGACCGGCCACAUUGGGACUGAGAUACGGCCCAGACUCCUACGGGAGGCAGCAGUGGGGAAUAUUGCACAAUGGGCGGAAGCCUGAUGCAGCAACGCCGCGUGCGGGAUGACGGCCUUCGGGUUGUAAACCGCUUUCGCCUGUGACGAAGCGUGAGUGACGGUAAUGGGUAAAGAAGCACCGGCUAACUACGUGCCAGCAGCCGCGGUGAUACGUAGGGUGCGAGCGUUGUCCGGAUUUAUUGGGCGUAAAGGGCUCGUAGGUGGUUGAUCGCGUCGGAAGUGUAAUCUUGGGGCUUAACCCUGAGCGUGCUUUCGAUACGGGUUGACUUGAGGAAGGUAGGGGAGAAUGGAAUUCCUGGUGGAGCGGUGGAAUGCGCAGAUAUCAGGAGGAACACCAGUGGCGAAGGCGGUUCUCUGGGCCUUUCCUGACGCUGAGGAGCGAAAGCGUGGGGAGCGAACAGGCUUAGAUACCCUGGUAGUCCACGCUGUAAACGGUGGGUACUAGGUGUGGGGUCCAUUCCACGGGUUCCGUGCCGUAGCUAACGCUUUAAGUACCCCGCCUGGGGAGUACGGCCGCAAGGCUAAAACUCAAAGGAAUUGACGGGGCCCUGCACAAGCGGCGGAGCAUGCGGAUUAAUUCGAUGCAACGCGUAGAACCUUACCUGGGUUUGACAUGGAUCGGGAGUGCUCAGAGAUGGGUGUGCCUCUUUUGGGGUCGGUUCACAGGUGGUGCAUGGCUGUCGUCAGCUCGUGUCGUGAGAUGUUGGGUUAAGUCCCGCAACGAGCGCAACCCUUGUUCACUGUUGCCAGCACGUUAUGGUGGGGACUCAGUGGAGACCGCCGGGGUCAACUCGGAGGAAGGUGGGGAUGACGUCAAGUCAUCAUGCCCCUUAUGUCCAGGGCUUCACGCAUGCUACAAUGGCUGGUACAGAGAGUGGCGAGCCUGUGAGGGUGAGCGAAUCUCGGAAAGCCGGUCUCAGUUCGGGUUGGGGUCUGCAACUCGACCUCAUGAAGUCGGGGUCGCUAGUAAUCGCAGAUCAGCAACGCUGCGGUGAAUACGUUCCCGGG